This 261-nucleotide ribosomal RNA is filed under the name uncultured archaeon. RNAcentral's name for it is "partial 16S ribosomal RNA". It matches the Rfam family "Archaeal small subunit ribosomal RNA", at positions 748 to 1008 of the family's 1478-position model. The record is from RNAcentral.
AGGGUGUAAACGCUGCAGACUUGGUGUUGGAGGCCCUUUGGGGGCAUUCAGUGCCGGAGAGAAGUUGUUAAGUCUGCUACUUGGGGAGUACGUCCGCAAGGAUGAAACUUAAAGGAAUUGGCGGGGGAGCACCGCAACGGGAGGAGCGUGCGGUUUAAUUGGAUUCAACACCGUAAAACUCACCAGGGAAGACUGUUACAUGAAGGCCGAGAUGGAGACUCUGCUAGAUUUUCAGAGAGGAGGUGCAUGGCGUCAGUGACU